UGAGGAAUAUUGGACAAUGGGCGCAUGAAUUCCAGCCAUGCCGCGUGCAGGAAGACGGCCCUCUGGNUUGUAAACUGCUUUUAUCAGGGGAUAAAGAUCAGCUAUACGCUGAUUUGCAGGUACCUGAAGAAUAAGCACCGGCUAACUACGUG
Molecule: ribosomal RNA, 152 nt
Filed under: uncultured bacterium
Lineage: Bacteria
Description: partial 16S ribosomal RNA
Rfam family: Bacterial small subunit ribosomal RNA
Source: RNAcentral